Molecule: ribosomal RNA, 408 nt
Filed under: Gecarcoidea natalis
Lineage: Eukaryota; Metazoa; Arthropoda; Malacostraca; Decapoda; Gecarcinidae
Description: partial 16S large subunit ribosomal RNA
Rfam family: Bacterial large subunit ribosomal RNA
Source: RNAcentral
AUAAUUUAAAGGGCCGCGGUAUUCUGACCGUGCAAAGGUAGCAUAAUCGUUAGUUUUUUAAUUGGAAUCUUGUAUGAAUGGUUGGACAAAAGAAAGUCUGUCUCUGUAUUAUUAGUUGAAUUUAACUUUUGAGUGAAAAGGCUUAAAUAAAUUAAAGGGACGAUAAGACCCUAUAAAGCAUUAUAUUGGGGCGAUAAUAGUAAAAAGAUUAACUGCUUAAUUUUUAAUACAAAUAUAAAUGAAAUGAUCCUAAUUAAAGAUUAAAAGUUUAAGUUACUUUAGGGAUAACAGCGUUAUUUUUUUUGAGAGUUCUUAUCGAAAAAAAAGUUUGCGACCUCGAUGUUGAAUCAAAAUAUCUAUAUAAUUGCAGAAGUUAUAUAAGAAGGUCUGUUCGACCUUUAAAUUUUU